RNAcentral lists this unclassified non-coding RNA (382 nucleotides) under Hevea brasiliensis (rubber tree). The record is from RNAcentral. Lineage: Eukaryota; Viridiplantae; Streptophyta; Magnoliopsida; Malpighiales; Euphorbiaceae.
GCAGCCUUUAACACAUUUAGGAUAACGGGAAUUGCUACUUUUACUUGCUCAAAGUGACGCCUUUGCAGGGAAAUGAAUACUUUUGAGAGCCCUCUUAGAAUAGAAGCAACAUAGCCAGAUGCAUAAAUCGGCCUAUCUGUAGCACUCAAAGCCCCGCAAAGAAUUGAAAGCAUAUCGCGUGGACUACAUAUCUCUAUAAAACGAUCAAUAAUUCUAUCAGCAAUCUCCAAGCAUCUACUUGACAAGCCUGCAAACUUUGAAGCCACCUUCGGCAACUCGAAGGAAAGUGCAUCAAUAACCUCCUGGUCUAAAGUAGGAGAAAGCAAAAAUCUUUGGAUCUCGUAGAGAACUUCUAAUGCAUUGUUUUGUGCAUCUUCGUCUU